GCCCAGGUGGCUCAGUGGUUGAGCAUCUGCCUUCAGCCCCAGGACGUGAUCCUGGAGACCUGGGAUCGAGUCCCAUUCCGGGCU
This 84-nucleotide transfer RNA is filed under the name Canis lupus familiaris (dog). It matches the Rfam family "tRNA". From Rfam's summary of the family: Transfer RNA (tRNA) molecules are approximately 80 nucleotides in length. Their secondary structure includes four short double-helical elements and three loops (D, anti-codon, and T loops). Further hydrogen bonds mediate the characteristic L-shaped molecular structure. tRNAs have two regions of fundamental functional importance: the anti-codon, which is responsible for specific mRNA codon recognition, and the 3' end, to which the tRNAs corresponding amino acid is attached (by aminoacyl-tRNA synthetases). tRNAs cope with the degeneracy of the genetic code in two manners: having more than one tRNA (with a specific anti-codon) for a particular amino acid; and 'wobble' base-pairing, i.e. permitting non-standard base-pairing at the 3rd anti-codon position. Lineage: Eukaryota; Metazoa; Chordata; Mammalia; Carnivora; Canidae. The record is from Rfam by way of RNAcentral. RNAcentral also lists the same sequence under 1 other name.